This 427-nucleotide ribosomal RNA is filed under the name uncultured bacterium. RNAcentral describes it as "bacterial SSU rRNA". It matches the Rfam family "Bacterial small subunit ribosomal RNA", at positions 29 to 501 of the family's 1533-position model. The record is from RNAcentral.
AACGAACGCUGGCGGCAGGCUUAACACAUGCAAGUCGAACGAUCUCUUCGGAGAUAGUGGCAGACGGGUGAGUAACGCGUGGGAACCUACCCUUUGGUACGGAAUAGCUCCGGGAAACUGGAAUUAAUACCGUAUGAGCCCUACGGGGGAAAGAUUUAUCGCCAAAGGAUGGGCCCGCGUUGGAUUAGCUAGUUGGUGGGGUAAUGGCCUACCAAGGCGACGAUCCAUAGCUGGUCUGAGAGGAUGAUCAGCCACACUGGGACUGAGACACGGCCCAGACUCCUACGGGAGGCAGCAGUGGGGAAUAUUGGACAAUGGGGCAACCCUGAUCCAGCCAUGCCGCGUGAGUGAUGAAGGCCCUAGGGUUGUAAAGCUCUUUCAGCGAGGAGGAUAAUGACGUUACUCGCAGAAGAAGCCCCCGGCUAAC